This 476-nucleotide ribosomal RNA is filed under the name uncultured bacterium. Its description in RNAcentral is "bacterial SSU rRNA". It matches the Rfam family "Bacterial small subunit ribosomal RNA", at positions 28 to 507 of the family's 1533-position model. The record is from RNAcentral.
GACGAACGCUGGCGGCGUGCCUAACACAUGCAAGUCGAGCGAUGAUUCGCCUCUUCGGAGGCGUUAAUUAGCGGCGGACGGGUGAGUAACACGUGGGUAACCUGCCUCAAAGAGGGGAAUAGCCUCCCGAAAGGGAGAUUAAUACCGCAUAAUAUGUUUUGAUCGCAUGAUCUUAACAUCAAAGGAAUUUCUUCGGAAGUUUCACUUUGAGAUGGACCCGCGGCGCAUUAGCUAGUUGGUGAGGUAAAGGCCCACCAAGGCAACGAUGCGUAGCCAACCUGAGAGGGUGAUCGGCCACAUUGGAACUGAAACACGGUCCAAACUCCUACGGGAGGCAGCAGUGGGGAAUAUUGCGCAAUGGGGGAAACCCUGACGCAGCACCGCCGCGUGAAUGAUGAAGGCCUUCGGGUUGUAAAGUUCUGUCUUCUGGGACGAUAAUGACGGUACCAGAGGAGGAAGCCACGGCUAACUACGUG